AUACGGAGGGUGCAAGCGUUGUUCGGAAUCACUGGGCGUAAAGGGCGCGCAGGCGGUUUGGUAAGUCAGAUGUGAAAGCCCACGGCUUAACCGUGGAAGUGCAUUUGAAACUGUCAGACUUGAGUAUCAGAGGGGAAAGUGGAAUUCCCGGUGUAGAGGUGAAAUUCGUAGAUAUCGGGAGGAAUACCGGUGGCGAAGGCGACUUUCUGGCUGAAUACUGACGCUGAGGCGCGAAAGCGUGGGGAGCAAACAGGAUUAGAAACCCCAGUAGUCC
Molecule: ribosomal RNA, 274 nt
Filed under: uncultured bacterium
Lineage: Bacteria
Description: partial 16S ribosomal RNA
Rfam family: Bacterial small subunit ribosomal RNA
Source: RNAcentral